This 4785-nucleotide long non-coding RNA is filed under the name Sus scrofa (pig). Its description in RNAcentral is "lncRNA (ENSSSCG00035072477.1)". The record is from RNAcentral. Lineage: Eukaryota; Metazoa; Chordata; Mammalia; Artiodactyla; Suidae.
UACAUUGGGGCACCGAGGCAGCUGCAAGGUUGUAGGUUGUGUUACAUGGAGGAGGGAGGGAAAUUAGAUGACAUCAGGAGGUAGGCAGGAACUAGAUUAUAUCCAGGGUUUUAGACCACAUUUAGGGUUUGGGGAUCCCUGCUGAGCUUUAAUAAUAAACGUAUGUGUUGGGGCACACAGUAGGCUUGCAGAAUAUUGGAUGGUAUAUCCCUUGUGUCAUGCAGGGAUGGACUAUGCCUCCAACAACACCUGGAGGAUCAGCCAAACAAAGGCAGGACUAAGAACCCCUAAAGGACAAUAAAAUCAGAGUUCCUGCACCCAAAAAAGCGACGACAACAACAACAACAACAAAAAACAAAAAGACAAUCAAAGACAAAGCAUGGCAUUUGGAGUCAGAAGAACCUUUAUUUUCAGUCACAUUGUGUGUGACCCUGGACAAAUCAAUGUCUGUGACCCUGGACAAGUCUUAUUGUGUGUGACCCCCCUGGACGAGGUCUCUCAGUCUCCUAGAGACAGAAGGCUUGGGAUCCCUGCUGAGCUUUUCUGAGAUUCUGGUAAUUGGUAAUAAAAAAUUCUGUAUGGGCAAGGCUUUGUCUAGUGCUUGCUACAAACUAGGCAAUCAUAUCCCUUUCUGUAGCUAUGCUCCAAAUUAACCUAGAGAUAGCACCAUGACCAGGGUUAACUUACGGUGUUGGGGGCAGGGUCCUAAAAAUUUGAUGUCUUUCUGAAAUUGCCACUUCUAAAAUAUUUGCUUAGAAUGUGCUUAAUGAAGGUUGGGGGAAACUGCUUUUUUAUAUUAGGAAAUAUAUUGAAAAUAACACAGUUAGACUACAUGGAUUUGAGUUAGGAUUGUGAUUUUUCUGAACCCCCAAACUUCUUGGAUUUAAAAUUUAGAUAACAGGAGUUUCUGUCGUGGUGCAGCAGAAAUGAAUCCGACUAGGAACCAUGAGGCUGUGGGUUCUAUCUGUGGCCUCUCUCAGGGGGUUAAGGAUCUAGUGUUGCUGUGACCUGUGGUGUAGGUCACAGAUGCAGCUCCGAUCUGGUGUUGCUGUGGCUGUGGCAUAGGCCAGCAACUGUAGCUCAGAUUAGACUUCUAACCUGGGAACCUCCAUAUGCCGCACGUGCAGCCCUAAAAAUUAAAAUUUAGGUAAAAAAUAAAUUAUUAUUUCCCAAACAAAUAGCAUUAUGCUAUGGAUCGUUCAGUUUCCGAAUUUCAUUGAAUUUUUUGGCUGCUGACUUCAGGUGACUGACAUAGCUGAGCUUGGUGGAGGCUGGGGGAGAGUUUUAUAGCUGCAGGGAUUUGCUUUCAUAUGCAGAUCACAAGAAUACCCUGUAACACAGGGGGGCACUGGCAAAUCCUGUACUUUUAUUUCAGUUUUUUUCAGGAAAGCAGGCUGGCAAUACUCAUCUGGAGUUACUGUCUGCCUUUUUUUUUUCACCACUGCAUCCAGGCUAGGGGUUGAAUUGGAGCUGUAGCCAGCCUACACCACAGCCACAGCAACCCAGGAUCCCAGCCACGUCUGUGGCCUACACCACAGGUCACAGUGGCACAGAACCGUUCUUUUUUUUAUGGGAACCAUUCCUCCUGGUUUGUGAUAUAAAUCUUCCACCCAUCAUAUGGCUGAGCACACAAUCCGUGCUUGACAGUCAAAGAUUGGUUCAAAAGUACACCAAUAAGAGCAGUAGCUUAAACUUCUUUUAUUCCUUUUUUGUCUUUCUUUCUUUCUUUUUUGGCCACCCACAGCAUAUGGAGUGACCCCACCAGGGAUCAGGUCUGAGCCCCAGUUGUGACCUACGCUGCAGCUGUGGCAACACCAGAUCCUUAACCCACUGUCCCUGGCCAGGAAUCGAACCUGGGUCCUGCACUGCAGAGACAUGGCUGACCCCACUGUGGGAACUCCCAAAACUUUUUGAUGGAACUUAUAGGAUAGCAGUAUUCUCUCCUAAGAUUCCUUGUUGUGAAGACAGCAUUAACCAAGAAUUCUCAUCUUUGCCAUCACAUAGGACAAGCCAGACUGAGAGAAGGACAAAGCAGAGAGUACUCAUAACCAUUAUUUGGAAUCCUGAUGAUAUACUUUGAGCCCUUUUGACUCUGCUCCGAUCCCAUGUUGCUGUGACUGUGGUGUAGGCCAGCAGCUGCAGCUGAUUCAACCCCUAGCCUGGGAACCUCCAUAUGCUACGGGCGCGGGCCUAAAAAGAAAAAGAAAAAAAAAAAUGGUUAAGAUGAUGUUACUGGAAUGGAACUGCAUCCUUGCAAAAUCCAUAUAGUAAAGAUUAACCCCCAUGUAUUGAAAACAGGGUCUUUAAAUAGGUCAUCAAGGUUAAAUGAGGUCAUGACUAGGACCCUAAUCCAGUAGAACUGGUAUCUUUAAGAAAGAGGCACCAAAGCCCUCUCUCUAUAUUUGCAAAGAGGAAAGGUCAUAUGAGGACACAGAAAGAAGGCGGCCAACUGUGAGCCAAGAAAGGAGGCCUGACCAGAAACUGACCGUGCCUGCACCUUAAACUUGGACUUUUAGCCUCUGGGACUGUGAGAGAAUUAGUUUCUGCUGUUUAAGCCACCAGUUUUGAUGUUUUGUUGUGUGAUAUUAGGCAGCCAGAGCGGAUUAAUAGAAAUGGUAAAUUAUAUGUUAUAUGUAUUUUAUCACAAUUUUAUUUUAUUUUAUUUUAUUUUAUUUAUCUUAUGGCCCAGGCUAGGGGUCUAAUCAGAGUUACAGCUGUCGGCCUAUGCCACAACCACAGCAAUGCCAGAUCCAAGCCACAUCUUCAACCUACACAGCAGCUUGCGACAACGAUGGAUCCUUUACCCACUAAUCAAGGCCAGCGAUCAAACCUAUAGCCUCACAGAGACAAUGUCAGGUUCUUAACCCACUGAGCCACAAUGGGAACUCAUACCACAAUUUUUUAAAAAGUCUAGUUUGACUUGGUUUUCUAUUAUGUAUAACCCAAAGACUCCUCACUAAUAUGCAACUGAUUUAAUUUCAUCCAUUGCAUAAAAAAUCCUACGUGGCCUCUUGUGUUAAUUGGCACAAUACUUUCUAAAUUGUCAGUGAGGUUUUGUUACUUUCUGUGUAUGGGCAUCCCUGGAAAAAGCCACCACACUGGCUGGCCUUCCAAUUUGGCUCAAGAUUUCUUGGGGAAAGAAAUAAUCCCAGGAUGCUCAAAAAACAGAUCCCAUAGCUUCAUUUGUGAAAAUCCUGGGUGUCAGGCCUCAGAUCCUUGAUUCCUGUUCCCAGGAAACCUUCCCAGGAAGACGUCGCCCGAGGCAGCUUUGAAUAAUGAGUUUUCCUUCUCAGAGCCUUCCUAUUCCAUUUCCAGAUGUUCCUAUUUGGAAAUCUUCCCUUAUUUUGUCUCUUGAAGUGCCAGCACUCAGAAAGGGCCCAGCCCCUCUGACAGCCGGUAGGCUUUCUGCUCAAGGGAUUUCACAGCAUCAGGACUCACACCCCAGCCUAUUAGAUGGCAGAAAUCCUUUCAAGGCAAGUUGGGGCUUAUUUGUAACUUAUCUGAGAAACACAUCACAGUGUGUCUUUGUAGCCAGGGAUCCUCAAGCGAGAAAGUAACAGAUGAAAUAACUUAUUAGUCCUUUUCCUUCCCAAGAGUCUCUAAAGCAUGAAAAACUCCACUAUACCUGCUCCUCCGAGCUUUUGCUGUAGAGAUUUCCCAAGAGCCUCCCAGUGCUGCCAGUGUCAGCACACCUGUCUGAGGCAGACGUGCACCAGCAACGGCAAAAUAAUGGAUUCCAUUUACUGAGCACGUACUAUGUGCCAGACACGGUACAAAGUGUUGUACCUGGGUUAUUUCAUGUAUGCCUUAUAGGAACAUGUGAAGUAAACCUAUCAACCUCGUUUUACAGAUGAAGAAACACGGCCUCGUAAAGUACAAGCAGCUCACUCGGAUUUAUUGAUCUUGUCAGUUGGCAGAGGCAGGGCUACCAGACUCAGGUCCGGCUGCUUGCCGCUCGGAAAUCAGUACCUGAGAAAGAGGCAAAUGUUGGUCAAAAGGAAGGUUGCUUUUCAUCAGAAUGCUGGCAGUCUGGGGAGAGGGUGGACUCACUGUCCACCCAAAACCAUCUCCUAAGAUUUAGCUUGACCGUGAAAGUUUUUAAAGGGAAAAAGGAAAGUCAUCUCUGCCAAUCAUUGAUGUAGCGGGCAGCGUCGCCAUCCCCCACUGCCCACAGGCUUCUGAACUCUCUCCUUAGAUGCAAUCUUGUUCAGUUUGUUCGUGAGAUUACUGAAGGGGAAGCUAGGAAAGUGGUCUGUCAUCUGUUAAUUACUUAUUCUUCAGUUCUACUUCUUUGAUCUACAGAAAGAACCAAUAGAUUAGGCAAGGUAUUAUGGGAUCGAAAGAUUUGAAAGGUGUGAGUGGGUCAGAAAUGAGUAGGGCAUGGGGGCUUCUGAUUAAAAUGUAAGCAAUUUGGGAGUUCCUGUGGUAGCUUAGCAGGUUGAGAACCCAACAUAAUGUCCCUGAGGAUGUGGGUUCGAUUCCUGGCCUCGCUUGGUGGGUUAAAGAUACGGUGUUGCCCCAAGCUGUGGUGUAGGUCACAGAUGCAGAUCUGGCAUUGCUGUGGCUGUGGCUGUGGCAGCUGCAGCUCCAAUCUGACCCUGGGAACUUCCAUAGGCCACAGGAAUGGCUGUAAGAAAAAAGGAGAGGAGUUCCCGUCGUGGUGCCGUGGUUAACGAAUCUGACUAGGAACCAUGAGGUUGCAGGUUCGGUCCCUGCACUUGCUCAGUGGGUUAACGAUCCAGCGUUGCCGUGAGCUGUGGUGUAGGUUGCAGAUGCGGCUCGGAU